UACGUAGGGCGCAAGCGUUGUCCGGAAUUAUUGGGCGUAAAGAGCUCGUAGGCGGCUUGUCACGUCGGAUGUGAAAGCCCGAGGCUUAACCUCGGGUCUGCAUUCGAUACGGGCUAGCUAGAGUGUGGUAGGGGAGAUCGGAAUUCCUGGUGUAGCGGUGAAAUGCGCAGAUAUCAGGAGGAACACCGAUGGCGAAGGCGGAUCUCUGGGCCAUUACUGACGCUGAGGAGCGAAAGCGUGGGGAGCGAACAGG
This 253-nucleotide ribosomal RNA is filed under the name uncultured bacterium. RNAcentral's name for it is "partial 16S ribosomal RNA". It matches the Rfam family "Bacterial small subunit ribosomal RNA", at positions 524 to 776 of the family's 1533-position model. The record is from RNAcentral.